UACGUAGGGUGCGAGCGUUGUCCGGAAUUAUUGGGCGUAAAGGGCUCGUAGGCGGUUUGUCGCGUCGGGAGUGAAAACACCGGGCUUAACUCGGUGCUUGCUUUCGAUACGGGCAGACUAGAGGCAUGCAGGGGAGAACGGAAUUCCUGGUGUAGCGGUGAAAUGCGCAGAUAUCAGGAGGAACACCGAUGGCGAAGGCAGUUCUCUGGGCCGUAACUGACGCUGAGGAGCGAAAGCGUGGGGAGCGAACAGG
RNAcentral lists this ribosomal RNA (253 nucleotides) under uncultured bacterium. Its description in RNAcentral is "partial 16S ribosomal RNA". It matches the Rfam family "Bacterial small subunit ribosomal RNA", at positions 524 to 776 of the family's 1533-position model. The record is from RNAcentral.